GGUGGUUCUCGGGUGAAACACCUUGGAAUUGGGCUCCCUCCUGUCUGGUUCUGGGUGCAUCACCCAAGAACCACA
Molecule: non-coding RNA, 75 nt
Organism: Myotis lucifugus (little brown bat)
Lineage: Eukaryota; Metazoa; Chordata; Mammalia; Chiroptera; Vespertilionidae
Source: Rfam